Molecule: unclassified non-coding RNA, 145 nt
Filed under: uncultured Helotiales
Lineage: Eukaryota; Fungi; Ascomycota; Leotiomycetes; Helotiales
Description: sequence contains ITS2
Source: RNAcentral
UAACCACUCAAGCCUCGGCUUGGUCUUGGGGUCCCGCGGUCUCGCGGCCCUUAAAAUCAGUGGCGGUGCCGUCUGGCUCUAAGCGUAGUAAUUCUCUCGCUAUAGGGUUCAGGUGGUGGCUUGCCAAAACCCCCCAUUUUUCUAU